RNAcentral lists this ribosomal RNA (301 nucleotides) under uncultured bacterium. RNAcentral describes it as "partial 16S ribosomal RNA". It matches the Rfam family "Bacterial small subunit ribosomal RNA", at positions 509 to 807 of the family's 1533-position model. The record is from RNAcentral.
CAGUAGCCGCGGGAAUACCGAGGGUGCAAGCGUUAAUCGGAAUUACUGGGCGUAAAGCGCGCGUAGGUGGUUUGUUAAGUUGGAUGUGAAAUCCCCGGGCUCAACCUGGGAACUGCAUCCAAAACUGGCAAGCUAGAGUAUGGUAGAGGGUGGUGGAAUUUCCUGUGUAGCGGUGAAAUGCGUAGAUAUAGGAAGGAACACCAGUGGCGAAGGCGACCACCUGGACUGAUACUGACACUGAGGUGCGAAAGCGUGGGGAGCAAACAGGAUUAGAUACCCCCGUAGUCCCUGUCUCUUAUAC